AAUCAACGCUGGCGGCGUGCCUCAGACAUGCAAGUCGAACGAUUAAAGCCCUCUUCGGAGGGUGCAUAAAGUGGCGCACGGGUGAGUAACACGUAAGUAAUCUACCUUCGAGUGGGGAAUAACGUUCGGAAACGAACGCUAAUACCGCAUAAUGCAGCGGCAUCUAUGAUGACAGUUGUUAAAGAUUUAUCGCUUGAAGAGGAGCUUGCGGCAGAUUAGCUAGUUGGUAAGGUAACGGCUUACCAAGGCGACGAUCUGUAUCCGGUCUAAGAGGACGGUCGGACACACUGACACUGAAUAACGGGUCAGACUCCUACGAGAGGCAGCAGUCGGGAAUUUUGGGCAAUGGGCGAAAGCCUGACCCAGCAACGCCGCGUGAAGGAUGAAGUUUUUCGGAAUGUAAACUUCGUAAGAAUAGGAAGAAUAAAUGACGGUACUAUUUGCAAGGUCCGGCUAACUACGUGCCAGCAGCCGCGGUAA
RNAcentral lists this ribosomal RNA (480 nucleotides) under uncultured bacterium. RNAcentral's name for it is "partial 16S ribosomal RNA". It matches the Rfam family "Bacterial small subunit ribosomal RNA", at positions 32 to 523 of the family's 1533-position model. The record is from RNAcentral.